GGAGAAUAGAAGGAUGAAGGGAUGGAGAUGGAGGGAAUGGGAGAAUAGAAGGAUGAAGGGAUGGAGAUGGAGGGAAUGGUGGAAUAGAUGGAUGAAGGGAUGAGGGAUGGAGGGAUGGGGGAAUAGAGGGAUGAAGGGAUGAAGGGAUGGAGAUGGAGGGAAUGGUGGAAUAGAGGGAUAAAGGGAUGAGGGAUUGGGUGAUGAAGAGGUGAAGGGGGUAUGAUGGAGACUGAUACCUCAUUUUAUUGAUCCCCAAUCCUUAGGUAAAGCUGUACAGUGCAACGUGAAUGUCAAUACACACAAUAGGCUGACUGGGGAGGUGAUUUCACACAGUCACAGUCCCGCGAUAAGAGCUAAGACGUUAAUAUUAGUGUAAACUCUUCACAGUUGUGUUAUUGGGUACAGUGAUUCCACAUUUCAUUGUUUCACAUUGUUUAGCAAUAUCUAGUCUAAAUAUGGCAUGAUUCCACUAAUUGUAUCCAUUUGCAUCACUUUCAAAGAGGGACUUUUAUUUAGAAGGCGAACCGCACAGUCCACUAUUGUGGCUAAUCCUAGCUAAAUUUGGCUACUUGAAAACUAUGUCGCAGGUAAAAAUGUAUUGGUCAGAGUGUUGCAGGUAAAAAUGUAUUGGUCAGAGGGUUGCAGGUGAAAAAUGUAUUGGUCAGAGGGUUGCAGGUAAAAAUGUAUUGGUCAGAGGGUUGCAGGUGAAAAAUGUAUUGGUCAGAGGGUUGCAGGUAAAAAUGUAUUGGUCGGAGGGUUGCAGGUAAAAAUGUAUUGGUCGAGGGUUGCAGGUAAAAAUGUAUUGGUCGAGGGUUGCAGGUAAAAAUGUAUUGGUCGAGGGUUGCAGGUAAAAAUGUAUUGGUCGAGGGUUGCAGGUAAAAAUGUAUUGGUCGAGGGUUGCAGGUAAAAAUAUAUUGGUCGAGGGUUGCAGGUGAAAAAUGUAUUGGUCGAGGGUUGCAGGUUAAAAUGUAUUGGUCGAGGGUUGCAGGUAAAAAGGUAUUGGUCAGAGGGUUGCAGGUGAAAAUGUAUUGGUCAGAGGGUUGCAG
RNAcentral lists this long non-coding RNA (1046 nucleotides) under Salmo salar (Atlantic salmon). RNAcentral describes it as "lncRNA (ENSSSAG00000108231.1)". Lineage: Eukaryota; Metazoa; Chordata; Actinopteri; Salmoniformes; Salmonidae. The record is from RNAcentral.